UUUAUUUAGUCCAGGAAGAGCUGUGGUGGGGAGUGGAUGUUGAACAAAACAGAGCUCUGUAAGAAUUUUCUGACUUUUUACCUGGUACGUGAGCCUCCCCUCUUUUUAUUGCUCCUGUGGAUCAUGCUGUCUCACUGUAAGUAGGAUCUCUCCAAAGAGCAGCUUUAUCUAUACCAGGCGACGUAGCCUCUGUGGAUCACAACAGCCAGGCCCGGUCUCCCCAUAGCUUUCCCUGUUUGCAGACGUGAAAAUCCAUUUCUCCAGUGAACUGGAGGUGAACCUCUGGAAGGCGAGCGGUGGUCGCGGGGUGUGUGGGAGCACUGCCAUCGUUCGGAUGCGGACACCACGGCAGGAGUAAGCUGGGGCAGCAGCCGCCGGGGCAGCGCCCACGUGUGGAAAAGCUAUUGGAGCUCGGUCCUUCUCUCCCUGGUGGCUCCUGCUGCCGGCCCCUCCUAAGCCCUGAGGAGAUGCGCAAUGCCGUUGUGCAAGCAGCGGGCGAGCCAGCAGAGGAGAUGAGAGGAGCCUGGUGGAGUAAGUCGUCGGGGAACGGGGGCUGUGUCGGGCCCAAGAAUUAUCUUAGCAAUAAACCUACUCACGAGAAUAAAUGGGAGCAGGAGAGCUGCCAGUUAAUAAAAAAGGCUCAUUGCAGAAAA
Long non-coding RNA from Haemorhous mexicanus (house finch), 653 nucleotides. RefSeq lists it as uncharacterized. Lineage: Eukaryota; Metazoa; Chordata; Aves; Passeriformes; Fringillidae. The record is from RefSeq and is a predicted model, not a curated record. The transcript is spliced from 2 exons.